RNAcentral lists this ribosomal RNA (465 nucleotides) under Vreelandella stevensii. RNAcentral describes it as "partial 16S ribosomal RNA". It matches the Rfam family "Bacterial small subunit ribosomal RNA", at positions 338 to 795 of the family's 1533-position model. Lineage: Bacteria; Pseudomonadati; Pseudomonadota; Gammaproteobacteria; Oceanospirillales; Halomonadaceae. The record is from RNAcentral.
CCUACGGGUGGCUGCAGUGGGGAAUAUUGGACAAUGGGCGAAAGCCUGAUCCAGCCAUGCCGCGUGUGUGAAGAAGGCCUUCGGGUUGUAAAGCACUUUCAGUGGGGAAGAAAGCCUUGGGGCUAAUACCCUCGAGGAAGGACAUCACCCACAGAAGAAGCACCGGCUAACUCCGUGCCAGCAGCCGCGGUAAUACGGAGGGUGCGAGCGUUAAUCGGAAUUACUGGGCGUAAAGCGCGCGUAGGCGGUCUGAUAAGCCGGUUGUAAAAGCCCCGGGCUCAACCUGGGAACGGCAUCCGGAACUGUCAGGCUAGAGUGCAGGAGAGGAAGGUAGAAUUCCCGGUGUAGCGGUGAAAUGCGUAGAGAUCGGGAGGAAUACCAGUGGCGAAGGCGGCCUUCUGGACUGACACUGACGCUGAGGUGCGAAAGCGUGGGUAGCAAACAGGAUUAGAUACCCGAGUAGUC